CCUGGGUAGGUAGAUACUCCUCCAUUAUUGUGUUAAAAUUCGGCUGUGUAUCAAAUGAAAUGAGCCUCCGAAACUCGCUCCGAAAUGAUUUUGAUGGACUCUCUGAAGAAUAUGAUGUGAUAGACAGUGUUAGCUCUGCCUCUGGCGAGAGAUCACAACCUAUGCCGUAUGGAGCGGCUGAUGGGCCCUCUCCAGCAGAGAGUUAUAUAAAGCCUGGCUUCCUCGGAAAUGUUCGUAAUAUUAGGAGUUUCAAACGUGCUGAGUGGGCAUUCAUUGUGAUUGGUGUGAUUUCAUUCAUGACGUCACUCGGUUUUACAAUUGAAAGAUUAGUUCACUUUUCCAAAAAUUUUAGUUCGUCUGAGAAGGUCUUUGAACAUUUUUGCCUUCCUAAUAAUUCCAUAAACUGUAUUGAUCACUGUCACCAUUGGACUUGUCUUAGUGACUUCACCUUUGCUCUGAUUCUCAUUGUCAACUUAAUAUUUGCUUUAUUUUACGGUGUUGAUGGACUGAUAAGAGAGAGAGGGUUAGAAUUGCUGGGUGUACUGAUACCAAUUGUUAUUGUACUCUUUUAUCUAUCUGCUAACUUGGUCUAUCACUUGAUUCACAUUAAGGAUAAGGAUGAAGGCAGUUUUCCUCAUGGUGAACUAGCACUUAGAAUUUUAUAGCAAUGGUUUUUAUUUAGGUCAGAUUAGUGACCUCAUGGAUACUUGGUCCGAUACUGGCAGUCUCCACUGUAGCCCUUUACAUUAAAAUGGGAAAAUUGAUGUUCAUACUUUUAGACCGGGACAAAAGAAUGAAGCGUAACUAGAUCUAUUUAACAGCAUUUUUUAGAAUAUUUUAUUUAUUUUUUAAAUAGGAAUUUAUCAAUUCUCUUCUUUUUUAUCAGUUCUUAUAUUCUUCAACAUCCAGUUACUAUUUAAUCUAGUUAUACUGGCAUUCUCACGUGAUACCACUUUCCUCCAUACACCAGAAAUGGUUGCUUUGCCAAUACUUGUUGCUUACACUAUAGCUCUUUCUCUUGUUGGCUGGUAUGGGAUCUGGUAUGAACAUAAAAGCAUGAUGGUUGUCUUUGUGACUUUUUUAUUGCCAACUCCAGCGUAUUACAUUUACAAGAUAUAUAACGUUGCAAAGAACUAUUCCUUUUAUGAUAAUCAUCCAUAUGACUAUGCCAGUCAUAAUGAGGACAUCAGUCAUUAUGAAUAUGUGGCCAUAUUCCUGUUCAUCAUAAGUGGACUUGGUCUGUUGGCUUGUGUCCUCAUUUGUAUUGUUACUAUCAGAGUCAUCAUGAAUUUUGGAAAAGGUCUCAAAGAGAAAAUUCCGCCACCUUUCUCCUUAUACACGUGCUGCAACAACUAAUAACUCAUACAUUAUACUUUUAUUUUUUGUUUCUCUUCCUUUAUUUUGAUUAUUAUUGCUGCUUCUACUCAAAACUUAUUAUAAUCCCCAACACAA
RNA transcript from Amphimedon queenslandica, 1452 nucleotides. RefSeq lists it as uncharacterized. The transcript has 9 exons. Lineage: Eukaryota; Metazoa; Porifera; Demospongiae; Haplosclerida; Niphatidae. The record is from RefSeq and is a predicted model, not a curated record.